This 1415-nucleotide long non-coding RNA is filed under the name Macaca fascicularis (crab-eating macaque). Its description in RNAcentral is "lncRNA (ENSMFAG00000052708.1)". Lineage: Eukaryota; Metazoa; Chordata; Mammalia; Primates; Cercopithecidae. The record is from RNAcentral.
AAGGUCUACAACCACUGUCAACUCCAAGUCAACAGACAGAAAGAAAAGUUCCAGGGCCGCCAACACCUGGGUGCAGUCCAGUCACCUGGAUGGUCAGAGAACCAUAAAGCUAAUAAACAAUGAGUUCCUUAAGGCACCAGUCAUGCUUCUGUAACAAGUCAAAUUUUGAAUAUCAAAGUGCAUCUUUUUUUGCCUCCUUGAGUAGAAAUCUUCACAUUAGUCUGCCCUAGCCAAUGACUUGCCCAGAUGGAAAGUCUGAAUUUAUUAUAGAAGAAGAACAAGAGAAAGAGUGACAUUCUGCUUCUGUCUUUCAGAAAGUAAGUUUUUACAAGCCUCUUGAAAAGGGAUUUGCUGAACUCCCUUGUGAGGCAUUAGUAUUUUAACAACCAAGCAUGGAGAUUUCUGAUCAAUAUGAUUUAAAAACAAAAAUAAAAAGAAGGUAACCUGCUUGUCAUUAAGAUUAAGCUAGAAAGAGUCAGGAAGAAGAUAGAAUAGAAAGAAAGAAAGACUAGUCCUUUAUUAGCGUGGAAAACUGUGAAAAGCAGAGAGAGAGGGAAAUGAAAUGGUGAAGGUUGUCCUAAUCUCCCCUCCCACAACUCUUCUGAGUUUGGCCCAGGUAGGGAAAGGGGCACUAGGAAAGCAAAGUUAACUCCAAAGGCAGAGUGGGGGCCACUAUUGAAAAGACUACUCACAAACUUGAAAGAAGAGGCUCUGUGUGUGGCAUGCUCCCAUACAAACCUAGGGACCCAGCCCACCCCUAGGUAGGUCAGACAUGGUCAGACAGAGCGAGGUAGAGAGGACUCAGAAAGAGCAAGCCUCUCUGCUUAUCAGAGGCAGGUAAAGCCAGGACUGGAUGAAAAGCCAAUCAAACUUCAAAGGGAUCUCUAGCACCAGGGGAAACUGAAAUGAGGUCAGGUCAGCCAGAGCACACAACAGGACUUUAACCAGACCCAGUGAGACCAACCACAGGUCACACCCACUCAAGCAAUCACCCCAGGGCAAGCAAUACCAAAUGGUAAAGAGAUAAUUGGCUGGAGGUCAGGCAAGCAGAGAACUGUGGCUGAGGACGCCACCUCCUCCCCACCACCAUGAGGUUGCAUAGACCUCAGCCCUUCCCCAGGACUCUAGGCAAGCAGAAGAGGAAGAACCUGAGAGCCUUAGCAAUUUUUUUUUUUUUUUUUUUUUUUGAAACAGAGUCUCACUUUGUCACCCAGGUUGGAGUACAGUGGUGCAAUCUAGGUUCACUGCAACCUCAACCUCCCGGAUUCAAGCUAUCCUCCUGCCUCAGUCCCCACAAGUACCUGGGACUACAAGCGCACACCACCACUCCCAGCUAAUUUUUGUGUUUUUUGUAGGGAUGGGUUUUUGCCAUGUUGCCCAGGCUGGUCUCCAAUUCCUGAGCUCAAGCCAUCUGC